RNAcentral lists this transfer RNA (58 nucleotides) under Salmo salar (Atlantic salmon). It matches the Rfam family "tRNA", at positions 8 to 63 of the family's 71-position model. From Rfam's summary of the family: Transfer RNA (tRNA) molecules are approximately 80 nucleotides in length. Their secondary structure includes four short double-helical elements and three loops (D, anti-codon, and T loops). Further hydrogen bonds mediate the characteristic L-shaped molecular structure. tRNAs have two regions of fundamental functional importance: the anti-codon, which is responsible for specific mRNA codon recognition, and the 3' end, to which the tRNAs corresponding amino acid is attached (by aminoacyl-tRNA synthetases). tRNAs cope with the degeneracy of the genetic code in two manners: having more than one tRNA (with a specific anti-codon) for a particular amino acid; and 'wobble' base-pairing, i.e. permitting non-standard base-pairing at the 3rd anti-codon position. Lineage: Eukaryota; Metazoa; Chordata; Actinopteri; Salmoniformes; Salmonidae. The record is from Rfam by way of RNAcentral.
UGGCUCAGUUGGUAGACCAUGGUGCUUGCAACGCCAGGGUUGUGGGUUCGAUUCCCAU